Molecule: long non-coding RNA, 469 nt
Organism: Gigantopelta aegis
Lineage: Eukaryota; Metazoa; Mollusca; Gastropoda; Neomphalida; Peltospiridae
Exons: 2
Source: RefSeq, a predicted model, not a curated record
AUAAAAACAGCAUUCUCUUGGUAAUCUGGCAGUUGGACCCAGAGUUAGUUACAAGUUUUACACGUGUCGGUAUGCUGCUGAUAAUAAUGUUAUUGUGCAAAGAUGUAGGAACGUGGUGUGGACAGCUGGGGCUUGAAGUGAUUGACUUCACGAGAUGUGAACCACAACUAGCUAGCGUCAUGGCAAUGACGAAGGACUGGAUGGUGUAGGAAUCUGAAGUAACCAUGGAAGAUCCUGUUAUCGUUGCCGAUGUGAACCUACCUUUGAUGCAGGACAGAUUCGCAAGCUACCUACGUUGGAUGUGACUUUUGUUUAGUUAACAACUGUUGACUGUUCGGACUUUGAAAACUGAUUUAAUUCAAAUUUGUCAAAGUGAUUUGAUCAGUUUGUUUUAUAAAGCAGAAUCGCGAUUCAUUGAUUUAGUGUGUAAACUGAAUACAUUUUAGAAAUUAUAAAUUUUAUUUUACUA